RNAcentral lists this ribosomal RNA (450 nucleotides) under uncultured bacterium. Its description in RNAcentral is "partial 16S ribosomal RNA". It matches the Rfam family "Bacterial small subunit ribosomal RNA", at positions 330 to 794 of the family's 1533-position model. The record is from RNAcentral.
GCCAGACUCCUACGGGAGGCAGCAGUGGGGAAUAUUGGGCAAUGGGCGCAAGCCUGACCCAGCAACGCCGCGUGAAGGAAGAAGGCUUUCGGGUUGUAAACUUCUUUUAUUCGGGACGAAGAAAGUGACGGUACCGAAUGAAUAAGCCACGGCUAACUACGUGCCAGCAGCCGCGGUAAUACGUAGGUGGCAAGCGUUAUCCGGAUUUAUUGGGUGUAAAGGGCGUGUAGGCGGGAAUGCAAGUCAGAUGUGAAAACUCAGGGCUCAACCCUGAGCCUGCAUUUGAAACUGUAUUUCUUGAGUGCUGGAGAGGCAAUCGGAAUUCCGUGUGUAGCGGUGAAAUGCGUAGAUAUUAGGAGGAACACCAGUGGCGAAGGCGGUCUGCUGGACGACAACUGACGGUGAGGCGCGAAAGCGUGGGGAGCAAACAGGAUUAGAUACCCGGGUAGG